This 131-nucleotide non-coding RNA is filed under the name pig gut metagenome. Its description in RNAcentral is "SAM riboswitch (S box leader)". It matches the Rfam family "SAM riboswitch aptamer (S box leader)". Rfam says of the family: The SAM riboswitch is found upstream of a number of genes which code for proteins involved in methionine or cysteine biosynthesis in Gram-positive bacteria. RNAcentral also lists the same sequence under 1 other name. The record is from RNAcentral.
CCUUAUCGAGAGUGGCUGAGGGAAUAGGCCCGAAGACGCCCGGCAACCUAUGUGCUUCUGAGAAAAGAGUGAAGCAGAAAAGGUGCUAAAUCCUACAGGAAUCCCGGCGGGAAAUUUCCUGAAAGAUGAGG